UCGGCCGGGGUUCGCCCACGUACCGUGCUUAGGAUGCUGGCGUAAUGGCUUUAAGCGACCCGUCUUGAAACACGGACCAAGGAGUCUAACAUGCCUGCGAGUGUUUGGGUGUAAAACCCAGACGCGGAAUGAAAGUGAACGGUUGGGACCUCUGUCGUGGAGGGCACCGACGCCCGGACCAGACCUUUUGUGACGGUUCCGAGGUAGAGCAUGUAUGUUGGGACCCGAAAGAUGGUGAACUAUGCCUGAGUAGGGUGAAGCCAGAGGAAACUCUGGUGGAGGCUCGUAGCGAUUCUGACGUGCAAAUCGAUCGUCGAACUUGGGUAUAGGGGCGAAAGACUAAUCGA
RNAcentral lists this ribosomal RNA (347 nucleotides) under Ramaria rasilispora var. scatesiana. RNAcentral's name for it is "LSU rRNA". It matches the Rfam family "Eukaryotic large subunit ribosomal RNA", at positions 590 to 938 of the family's 3401-position model. Lineage: Eukaryota; Fungi; Basidiomycota; Agaricomycetes; Gomphales; Gomphaceae. The record is from RNAcentral.